UUGUUGUCUGCAGUGAGUGACAGCUCCAGUGACUGCGUGAGCGUCCAGCAUCAUCCUGCGUUACUGAUGGAGAGCUACAGCUCAUCCCCGUCUCCUCCGAACGUCUCGUCCUCCGUCCUCUAUCACAAAGAGCAGGAGCUGCAGAAUCAGAGCAGCACGUUCAUCACAGCGAGCAAGACUUCAGGUCUGUUAGGCCUCUCAACUCUGGUCUGAAUCAAAUGCUUCAGAUCACUGUGAAUCCAUCGAGACCAUCGGAGUUUGACUGUGAAUGUGGACGUGUUCGGACAGACGGAGAGCAAAUGCACUGAGACAUUUCAUAGUUUCAUAGACUGAUAAACGUCCAGAGCCUCGCUGAUGAAUAUGAAUUGCAGAAU
This is a long non-coding RNA of Carassius carassius (crucian carp), 374 nucleotides long. RefSeq lists it as uncharacterized. The record is from RefSeq and is a predicted model, not a curated record. The transcript is spliced from 3 exons. Lineage: Eukaryota; Metazoa; Chordata; Actinopteri; Cypriniformes; Cyprinidae.